Molecule: unclassified non-coding RNA, 616 nt
Filed under: Hevea brasiliensis (rubber tree)
Lineage: Eukaryota; Viridiplantae; Streptophyta; Magnoliopsida; Malpighiales; Euphorbiaceae
Source: RNAcentral
UGGAAUUCUUUCUUGAUGAUGGCACUUGUAGGAGGCUGAUCACAUCCCAAUCCAAAUCCUAGCUCAUACACGUCACUAAAUGAGGAUAGAUCAGGAAUUCCAUCUUGGAUAUCUUGAUGCGUCCAGAAACCCAACUUGAGCAUGGUGGCAGCUAAAUACACUGCUAGUCGGAUCUUCUUUGCCAACUUGUGAGUUGCCUGUGUUAUGCUUAACCCUCCAGCGCUAUGCCCCACCAAUAUCACCUGUUCAUUAUCAGGCAAGGAAGACAUGAAAUCCAUGAGAGGCUUAUUGUAAUCAUCAAAAGAAAGGAUAGAAUUGGCAUCUGCUUGAUCGAUGCCUGCACCUUUGAGGUCAACACAAGAGACCUUAUAGCCUGAGUUCUCCAUGAGACACCGGAUUUUGUACCAGCACCAGCUCCCUCCACUAAUUCCAUGCACCAGCACGAAGUGUGGCUCUGAUGACAAAGCUAUGUCUUCCCCCAUGUUAAUUGCCUCCUCUCCCAUCUGCCCUUGCGAUCGAUCAGUUGAUCUUCCUUUUUUACUACUGAAAAUCAAUCACUUAGUUUUUGGAAAUUCAACUUUGUAAGGAUAGAAACAAUUAAUGGAGAGAGUUUGGG